Molecule: unclassified non-coding RNA, 867 nt
Filed under: Hevea brasiliensis (rubber tree)
Lineage: Eukaryota; Viridiplantae; Streptophyta; Magnoliopsida; Malpighiales; Euphorbiaceae
Source: RNAcentral
AAAUAAUCUCAAUUCAAGUAAAGCAAAUUAAUGAGAUUAAUUAAGGAGGCUGGAGAAAGUUACAGUUCAAGAAAGCAAAAUUAAUUGCAUGAUUAUAGACAACAUGACUUGUGAAGUGUUUUUGAGCAACAUAGAUUCACCUUUGUGCGAUUACAAAGGGAUGAAUUGAAACAGCAGAAACUGAAGCGUGGACAUGAAGGUCUGGUAAUUUUGCAACAACUUUGACAAGCCAUAUUCUCCAAGCACCUGCAUGAAUGCCUGUGGGAGUUACUCGAUGGACAGCAGGCACAAGAAGUUGGCUUUUGACAUUCACUUGAGCAGCAAAUCCGUGAAAGACAGAUCCACUUCCAGCGGCAACUAGAUUUAUGGGGCUUCUCAUUUCUUGACACAAAAGGAUCUGGUUUAGCCCCAAUGAAGUCAUCAAGCCUGUCAAUUAAAUGUUAAUGGUCAGAGAGGAACGUACAAAUGCUGAAAAGCAUACCUUGAAAGUGUGGAAUAAGCAUGUUAUGACGGUCAGGCAAACUAAACGCUAUGAAAUUGAAUCAAUGAAGAAACCAUACUCUUUGCAGCAUCUGGAAGCAGGUUGAAGGCCUUCAACAGUUUUUAACUCUUCCUGAAGCAAACCAAUCUCUCUCUCCAAGAUUUGUACCUUGACCAACUGUCUUCCCUUCCCAAACAAAUCUAAACAUCCAGGUGGUGACUUUGGGCACCAUGGAGGUGGCGCGGCCAAAGAAGAAGACCCACGUGAGGAAGAUGAAGAACAAGAGUUGGAGCAGCCACCCAUCAUCUAAACAAGAAGAAGAAAUGCAGCAAAAACCAUUGAAGACAAUGCGGUUAAUGUGGUUAGGUACGUGAAAGGCAUUGCUU